This is a non-coding RNA of Ictidomys tridecemlineatus (thirteen-lined ground squirrel), 2882 nucleotides long. NCBI's taxonomy places the organism in Eukaryota, Metazoa, Chordata, Mammalia, Rodentia, Sciuridae. The record is from RefSeq and is a predicted model, not a curated record.
AAAAAAAGUGAACAGUGUCCCUGGGUAUUUAUGUAGGUUCACGGUUGCUAGGGCCUGAGUGUUGGCCUGCCUCCCCAGGUGAAUGUGUUUAAAUCUCCACACUCACACAGUGUGAUGGUGUUAGGAGGUGGGCCUUGGGGAGGUGUGAGGUCCAAGGGUGGCGUCCUCAUGGACAGGAUUAGUGCUCUCACGAGAGGGCCACCCCAAAGCCCUGUUUCUGCCACUGAAAGGCGCACCUGCAACAGGAACGUGGGAGUCCGCAACCUGAAAAAGAGCUGCAUCAGGGCCAGCCUUCUGAGCUACGGGAAUUCACGUCCGCCCUUGUUAAACCACAGAGUCUAGGGUCCUCCCUCACGGCCACCUGAGUGGACUGAGACGGUGGUGUGGUUUACACUGGUCUGCUGGCACGGAAAGACUGAGGAUAGCCCCUAUUUCUUCCUUUCUUUUGCAGAAACAGACCCUGGCACGGUGUUGGCAGAAGGCCUGUCCCUGAUUGUCUAGAAUGCAGGUGGACACCUCUGCACUGCACAGCUCCGGUGGACACUGCAAACGUGGCGUCCAUCACCUCCAGGAGGGAUAAGGGUCCAAGUCCCUGCCAGAGUGUGACCCCACCGACUCUGAUGAUGGACCGUUUUGAAGCUGGAUUGGCAGAGGUGGCGAGCACUGCGUGUUGUGAUGAAAGGUAACGGUCAUGCCCAGCCUCCGUGAGCACAGCUGGGCGCCAGCCUCUCUCCUGCCAUGUUACGUUCAUCACCCGGCUUCACGGUGAACAUCCAGGGGAGGUAAGAGCCCAGCCUCAGGGGCGCCCAGGUGCCUUCCCGGGUGGGCUGGGCAUGCAGGUGCAGAGCCAGGAAGGACAUGCAGGUGCAGUCAGAGCUCAGAGCUGCCCUCUGAACCUUGGCAGUAGCAGGCAGCAAACGCAAGCUGGUCCCACUACGUGCAAUGUGGAGAAACUGUCAUCGAUGUCAUCGUGGCCCGUGCCUUCCCUCACGUUAUCCAGUGAGUGUUCUCAAAGAAUCGAGAACAAUUCUGCUUCUUGAUUCCCCCUCCUGUUCCCCUCAAGCAACUCAGUUAUGAUGAUACUAGCAAUUACGGGCGGCAGAGUCCAGCAGUGUUUGCCCUCAGUUAACGAGUGGCUUUGGGAAGAGUGGUAGUGUGUCCUCCAAGAUGACGUGCAUAAUCCCACCCAAAUCCACCCCAGGUGCGUCUGACUCGCCUCUAGGGGCUGGGGGCUGUCUCCAGUCUGCCCCCUGCCGGCCCAUGAGUCAGCCGUGGCAAGUCACUGACCCGGAGCUGAUCCCCAGGAUAGGAAGAGGGUCUCGGGGCCAGGCGGGCCUCGUCCUUCCACCUAGUCCUUCCCCAGCAGCUUGCCACCCUCCAGGUCGGCUCCACCGAAGGGGAACCGAGCAGUUUUGUGCACACUUCAUGGGAGGGCUGCUUUGCCUUCGGUGGGUCAGAGUGUCAGUACGAGGUGAGUAGUGGCCAGGAGACAAUCCAACCCGCACCAGGGCUGGCCGCCCGCUCCCUCUUGCCGCUCACGGACCGUUAUCUUGACUCUUGAGAUCAGAUACUCACUGAUUUCAAAGAGAGAUGCGUUCGGUUCUGCUGUAAUGGAAAUCCGGUGGUCACGGAGGAGAGCUGCCCGUUCAGUGUUUUUGAUUUCCAUUUCUGUUUACCACGUUCACGGGAUCACCAGAUAGCCGUCCUUCUGUUCAGCGCGUUUCGAAGAUUUUUAUUUAAGUGAAGAGAAUCGGAUUGGGAAAGAGCAUAAAAGUCCUGAAGGCUCAUUGUCUGGCAUCGGUGUUGUGCGGUAAUCAGCCUCGGUGCCUGUUAGUUGGCUCCCAAGUCAGAGCUCCUGCGUGGGAAUCUGCAGGUCAAGCACGUGGCGCCUCUGUGUGCAAUACGUCUGACGACGCUCCACGGUCAGGAAUAUCCAAAAAGAACAGACGGAAAUAAAACAUUUUGCCCUGAAGCCUUCCGUCCGGUGCUGCGGGUAGAAGAUGCGAUCUAACCAGAGAAGCGCCACUAACUGAAGCGCCACUUCCAUGGUCAGCGAUCUCAUGCCAUUGAUUACAUGCAGUGGAUUUCGCGUCCAGGCAUCUUGUCUAUCACCCAGAUUUACGGGUAGCAUUUCAGGAGAUAAUUGUGAACGAAAAGGGGCCAGUGAUUGCAUGAGAUAUUCUUGUCUGAGUAUUUACGAUGUUUUUCACCUCCCAAAUGAUUUCUUACCUUCUGCUAACAACCGGCCGAGUUGGAAUUGGUGUCUCACUAAAUCAUGACGUUCCAGGAGCCUUUGUGCCGGCAGUAUUGAUUGUCGGAAUGACAUGGCUGCUGUAAAGCGGUGUAUUUUCAAACACCCUGUCGGAACUUUCAGGCAGGUGGUUUUCGGGCCAGGAGCUUCAGUAUCGGCUCCCUGGUCCGAGGAGGUGGGUGCUGGGUGGUAUUUCUCAGAGAACUGGUCCACGGCGCUCUGCACGCUGCAUUUUCUUACCUCUGGGUAUCCACGGAGCUGGGUGUGUCCUAGAGAAGCACGUGCUCACAUGUGGGGGCCGUAGUCCAGGGAGACGGUGACCAGCCCCUCAGUCGGGGUGUGUGAGUCUCCCGUGGAAGGUGGACCAGGGCCACGAGAGACCCCACCAGCCAGUCCCUGGGGUCAGGCGCCAGGUGGAGACCAUGGGACUGGUGGGCUGAAUAGUGGCCCGGGGAAUUGCAGUGUGGACGGCGGGAAGAGCUGACCAGGCACAUUAAUGGGGACCGUAUCACAGUCCCAGGAGAAGGGCAGGCUCCUUGGGAAUUGGCUCGUGGGUUUAAAGGUGUUUGGUGGAAUGUCUUACAGAGAGGCGACUGCGCCCACCUCACGUCCCUGGGGUCUUUCUGUCUAG